UACGUAGGGUGCGAGCGUUAAUCGGAAUUACUGGGCGUAAAGCGUGCGCAGGCGGUUUUGUAAGCCAGAUGUGAAAUCCCCGGGCUUAACCUGGGAAUGGCAUUUGGGACUGCAAGGCUCGAGUGCGGCAGAGGAGACUGGAAUUCCUGGUGUAGCAGUGAAAUGCGUAGAUAUCAGGAGGAACACCGAUGGCGAAGGCAGGUCUCUGGGC
RNAcentral lists this ribosomal RNA (211 nucleotides) under uncultured bacterium. RNAcentral's name for it is "partial 16S ribosomal RNA". It matches the Rfam family "Bacterial small subunit ribosomal RNA", at positions 524 to 734 of the family's 1533-position model. The record is from RNAcentral.